RNAcentral lists this transfer RNA (76 nucleotides) under Smithella sp. PtaU1.Bin162. Its description in RNAcentral is "tRNA-Ala". It matches the Rfam family "tRNA". From Rfam's summary of the family: Transfer RNA (tRNA) molecules are approximately 80 nucleotides in length. Lineage: Bacteria; Pseudomonadati; Thermodesulfobacteriota; Syntrophia; Syntrophales; Smithellaceae. The record is from RNAcentral. RNAcentral also lists the same sequence under 1 other name.
GGGGCUGUAGCUCAGCUGGGAGAGCGCUUGAAUGGCAUUCAAGAGGCCACGAGUUCGAUCCUCGUCAGCUCCACCA